Molecule: ribosomal RNA, 253 nt
Filed under: uncultured bacterium
Lineage: Bacteria
Description: partial 16S ribosomal RNA
Rfam family: Bacterial small subunit ribosomal RNA
Source: RNAcentral
GACGUAGGGGGCGAGCGUUGUCCGGAUUUAUUGGGCGCAAAGCGCGCGUAGGCGGUCCGUUAAGUCGGAUGUGAAAAUCCGGGGCUCAACCCCGGACCUGCAUCCGAUACUGGCGGGCUGGAGGCAGGUAGGGGAGAUCGGAAUUCCUGGUGUAGCGGUGAAAUGCGCAGAUAUCAGGAGGAACACCAGUGGCGAAGGCGACUACCUGGCCUGUUCUUGACGCUGAGGCGCGAAAGCUAGGGGGGCAAACGGG